GACGUAGGGCGCGAGCGUUGUCCGGAUUUAUUGGGCGUAAAGAGCUCGUAGGCGGCUUGUCGCGUCGUCCGUGAAAACCUGCAGCUCAACUGCGGGCCUGCAGCCGAUACGGGCAGGCUAGAGUUCGGUAGGGGAGACUGGAAUUCCUGGGUGUAGCGGUGAAAUGCGCAGAUAAUCUGGAGGAACACCGGUGGCGAAGGCGGCGUCCUGGACCAACACUGACACUGAUGAGCGAAAGCCAGGGGAGCAAACGGG
RNAcentral lists this ribosomal RNA (255 nucleotides) under uncultured bacterium. Its description in RNAcentral is "partial 16S ribosomal RNA". It matches the Rfam family "Bacterial small subunit ribosomal RNA", at positions 524 to 776 of the family's 1533-position model. The record is from RNAcentral.